Molecule: long non-coding RNA, 380 nt
Filed under: Mytilus galloprovincialis (Mediterranean mussel)
Lineage: Eukaryota; Metazoa; Mollusca; Bivalvia; Mytilida; Mytilidae
Source: RNAcentral
UGAUUUUUCAUAAAAUGUAUUGAUUUUCGAGUUUUCAGUGAAUUUCAUGUAUCUAAGUGAACGAAUAUCGAAGGUACAAUACAGAAAUUGGACAAAUAUGCCAUUAAAACAUAUGUAUGUGACAAAUCAACAUGAGCUUGCCCUGCAUUACAUGUAACAGUAUUCGUCCAUACCAAUUUUAAGCAAAUUUAGUCGUCUCGCAGGCCUCCAGAUUUUUUUGAAAAUUUAGUGUUCACCCCAAGAACCGGUUUGGCCACAACAUAACAAUUUCAAGUUUAUUUACAAUUUACACAGUGUGUAUAUGUAAAGUAUGUUUAAGUGAACAUAUGUUCUCAUAGUUUCUGACUUUAUUCAUUAUAGGUUGAAAAAUACAGGCAAAG